RNAcentral lists this unclassified non-coding RNA (2123 nucleotides) under Leishmania donovani. RNAcentral describes it as "gene:LdHU3.05.0830(CDS-product:Vta1_like_putative )". The record is from RNAcentral. Lineage: Eukaryota; Euglenozoa; Kinetoplastea; Trypanosomatida; Trypanosomatidae.
CGCUGCGCCUUCCCGUUCGUUCUUCAUACAUUAUUUGCUUGUUGCCCUCCCCUCAUCCACGGCAACCGCACUGGUCCAUCACCACCAUCACCGUCGUCGUCGUUCACCCGAAGCGGAAGCAGCACUCGGUCUCUCCCGUUCCACGCACUCGGCCCUCUCUGCCCCUCCCCCCUCUCCCCCCUCCCCCGGUGUAGCCAUCAAGGCGUGACGGAGAGCGGCGCGUAUCUGACCCCUGACCUUGUCCCGUGGCUCAGGCCUGGAAAGACCGACACGCGUGCGCACAGUCGUGUGUGCUGAUCAAAAUGAUGUCCUCUGCAAGUCUCCUGGAGAAGGUGCCCCAGCCAUGGGCGGCGCUGGUGCGGCCAUUCCUGCAGCGCUCGCACGAGUUCGAAGACAAGGAGCCGCUCGUGGCGUACUACCUGCGCACGCACGUCGCCUUCCUGUGCAUGCGGCAGCGGAGCAAGGAAGACAAGGAAGGCACUGCCUUCCUCAUGACCCUGCUGGACGCGCUGGAGGCGAGCAAGGCGCGCCUCGGUACGCAGCUGCAAGGCGUUGAUGGGCGGACGGUGCUCACCAAGUUUGCGCUCAUGCUCUUCGCCCGCGCCGAUGACGCGGAGCGGACCGGGAACGCGUCCAUGGCGAUUGUGCGCCUCUUCUACACCGCGUCCGUGCUGUUCGAGGCGACGGCGCAGUUCACCGACGACGGCGCCAUGGACUCCGUUGCGGCACAGAAAAGCAAGUACGCCAAGUACAUCGCCACCCGCAUGAAGAAGGCACUCGACAAGAAUGAACCUUACGUGAGCCCCAACAAGCUGGAGGCUGCGGACGACGAUGCGGCGGGCGGUGUCGGCAGCGUGAAUGGCGCGGCCCAGACGAACACGUUCACGACGGCGCCGGCGAGCUGCUUCAUGCAGCCGGCAUCGCAGCCUACGUCCGUCUCCAACCGGGCGCCAGCGCCAAGCACCGCGCACGAAAACUUACCUGCUCCACCGUAUACGCCUCCACCGGCGACGCAGAAGCUUGACACACCGCCGCCACCGUACACACAGGACGCCGACACUCAGGGACGAAGCAAGACACCAGUGCAGCCGUCCCUCAUGAAUAACAUGUACGCGCCACCGCAGCCUCAGCACCCAUCACAGCAGCAGCAGCGGCUCUCCACCAGCUCGGCGGUGCCGAGCCUCCCGCCGCAGUCAUCCUCCGCGCAGCAGCGGUACGCGGCUUCGCCGAGCGCCAGCGGCGGCGUCGGUGCGACCGGAUUCAAGCCCUCUGUGGACCAGAUGAUCGACGCCCAGAAAUUGGCCAGCCAGGCAGUGAGUGCGCUGCAGUUCUAUGAUUACGAAAAUGCGAAGCAGCAACUGGUGGCGUCGCUGCGGGUGCUGAACGGGGUCCAGUGAUGGCGACGACGAUGGUCAUCCUCAAGAUGGCGGUGCUUCGCUCUGCAGGAUGAAGCUGGUGGAGCACGAAAGGAAAGAAAGCAAGUGCGAAACGGCAGAUGCGAGGGUAUGGAGGAUCACACAGCCUGAAGAGCCCCUACGCAGUGUAGCCGACACUCUCCCACGCAGCUUCUCCCUACUCCACAUCGUGUGCCCUCUUUUCGUCUGCUGUGGCCGUAUCCCGGCAGCGUGGCGCGCCUACAUGUACGCGCGCACUCGUUCUUGUGGGUGUGGAGGUGAUGUUGCUCACCUGGCAGACGAAAGGAAACACGACAGGGGAGAGAGAGGGGGGAGGCGGGCGGCGGCGACGCGGAUGGCGUGUGCAUGUGUCUGCGCCCUCGCUGUCCCCAUCCUGGUGUUGCAUCCAUUCUCGCGUUACUAGUGUUCCAAUGGCGUGUCCAUGGACUUCGCAUUCGCUUCUAUUUUGGUUGUUGUUGACGGAGAUGUGUCCAAGUAGGUGAGUCGGUGGGUAGGCGCGUACUAGGCCGGGUGCCGGUGCGUGAAAGCCCGCUGGCAUCUCGAGAAUAUCCCUCUCCCGCUCUGGCUUUCCCAGCACCACCACCACACAAACACAUACGCUUCUCUUCUUCAUCGCCCCUCUGGCGAGUCGUUCGCCCGCGUGCAUAGGCCCGGCGUGCGUGUGUGGUGCGUGCAUCACCAAGGUGUGUCACGGGCGCGCGACUCCAC